This 497-nucleotide ribosomal RNA is filed under the name uncultured bacterium. Its description in RNAcentral is "partial 16S ribosomal RNA". It matches the Rfam family "Bacterial small subunit ribosomal RNA", at positions 28 to 507 of the family's 1533-position model. The record is from RNAcentral.
GAUGAACGCUGGCGGCGUGCCUAAUACAUGCAAGUCGAGCGAACAGACGAGGAACUUGCUCCUAUGGCAUUAGCGGCGGACGGGUGAGUAACACGUGGAUAACCUACCUAUAAGACUGGGACAACUUCGGGAAACCAGAGCUAAUACCGGAUAAUAUAUUGAAACGCAAGGUUCAAUAGUGAAAGACGGAUUUGCUGCCACUAAUAGAUAGAUCCCCACCGAAUUAGUAAGUUGGUAAGGAAACGCCUUACCAAGGGAAGAAAGCUUACCCGCCCUGAAGGGGUGACCGGCCACACUGGAACGGAGACAGGGCCCAGACUCCUACGGGAGGCGGCGGUGGGGAAUCUUCCGCAAUGGGCGAAAGCCUGACGGAGCAACGCGGCGGGGUGGAUGAAGGUCUUCGAUUCGUAAAACUCUUUUAUUGGGGAAGAACAAAUGUGUAAGUAACUACGCACGAAUUGACGGUACCUAAUCAGAAAGCCACGGCUAACUACGUG